AACGAACGCUGGCGGCAGGCCUAACACAUGCAAGUCGAGCGCACCCUUCGGGGUGAGCGGCGGACGGGUGAGUAACGCGUGGGAACGUGCCCUUCUCUGCGGAAUAGCCUCGGGAAACUGAGAGUAAUACCGCAUACGCCCUUUGGGGGAAAGAUUUAUCGGAGAAGGAUCGGCCCGCGUUGGAUUAGGUAGUUGGUGGGGUAAUGGCCCACCAAGCCGACGAUCCAUAGCUGGUUUGAGAGGAUGAUCAGCCAUACUGGGACUGAGACACGGCCCAGACUCCUACGGGAGGCAGCAGUGGGGAAUCUUAGACAAUGGGGGCAACCCUGAUCUAGCCAUGCCGCGUGAGUGAUGAAGGCCUUAGGGUUGUAAAGCUCUUUCAGCUGGGAAGAUAAUGACGGUACCAGCAGAAGAAGCCCCGGCUAACUCCGUG
Molecule: ribosomal RNA, 433 nt
Filed under: uncultured bacterium
Lineage: Bacteria
Description: partial 16S ribosomal RNA
Rfam family: Bacterial small subunit ribosomal RNA
Source: RNAcentral